AUUGAACGCUGGCGGCAGGCCUAACACAUGCAAGUCGAACGAGUGGCGGACUGGUGAGUAAUUUCUGGGAAACUGCCUGAUGUAGGGGUCUAACUACUGGAACCGGUAGCUAAUACCGCAUACCAUCAGAUGUGCCCAGAUGGGAUGAGCUUGUUGGUGGGGUAACGGCUCACCAAGGCGACGCUCCCUAGCUGGGCUGAGAGGAUGACCAGCCACACUGGAACUGAGACAAGGUCCAGACUCCUACGGGAUGCAGCAGUGGGGAAUAUUGCACAAUGGGCGCAAGCCUGAUGCAGCCAUGCCGGGGGUAUGAAGAAGGCCUUCGGGUUGUAAAGUACUUUCAGCGGGGAGGCGUUACCCGCAGAAGAAGCACCGGCUAACUCCGUGCCAGCCGCCGCGGUAAUUC
Molecule: ribosomal RNA, 406 nt
Filed under: uncultured bacterium
Lineage: Bacteria
Description: partial 16S ribosomal RNA
Rfam family: Bacterial small subunit ribosomal RNA
Source: RNAcentral